AAUGUGAACCUCAACGUUCCGUGCCUUGGCUGCCAGCGGGGUAAUCGGGCUUUGCUCGGUUGCAUCUCGCAGCUGGGGUCGGCAUUGCUGCCGGCUUCAGUGGCGCUUUGGCAUGACUAUACACCAGUCUAACCACUGUCAAAACUUAAAUCUAAAGUUCUGACUGCUAGUAACUGGCGGUCUUAACCAAAGACAACUCUCAACAACGGAUAUCUUGGCUCUCGCAACGAUGAAGAACGCAGCGAAAUGCGAUACGUAGUGUGAAUUGCAGAAUUCCGUGAACCAUCGAAUCUUUGAACGCAUAUUGCGCUCGAGCCCUCGGGCAAGAGCAUGUCUGCCUCAGCGUCGGUUUACACCCUCACCCCUCCCACCUUGUGUGGGUCGGUUGGCUUUCUAGCCAACCUUGGGGUGGAUCUGGCUUCCCCAAUGCGCUUUUGCGGGUUGGGUUGGCUGAAGUGUAGAGGCUUAAACAAGGACCCGAUAUGGGCUGCAACUGGAUAGGUAGCACCGGCUUCUGCCGACUACACGAAGUUGUAGCUUGUGGACUUUGUUAGGGGCCAAGCAGGAAACGUGCUUGCACGUUCUAAACUU
This 591-nucleotide unclassified non-coding RNA is filed under the name Chodatodesmus australis. Its description in RNAcentral is "sequence contains ITS1, 5.8S rRNA gene, ITS2". The stretch from base 195 to 348 matches the Rfam family "5.8S ribosomal RNA". The record is from RNAcentral. Lineage: Eukaryota; Viridiplantae; Chlorophyta; Chlorophyceae; Sphaeropleales; Scenedesmaceae.